RNAcentral lists this long non-coding RNA (5907 nucleotides) under Malus domestica (apple). RNAcentral's name for it is "long non-coding RNA (MDOM_LNC000692)". Lineage: Eukaryota; Viridiplantae; Streptophyta; Magnoliopsida; Rosales; Rosaceae. The record is from RNAcentral.
CAAUUAAAACACAAACGAAGAGUGACUGACCUGAUUCCAAUGGUAGUUACCGAAGAUGCAGUAACCAUGCAAGCAAGACGUCAUCGAUAAAACUCCAAUCUUUAUGUUUGCCGUGACAAACAGAAACACCAACUCUUCUGUAAACUCCUAGCUUUAUGACAAUGCUCUAUGGGAAGCCUUAGUUGUCGUGUCUAGGGUUAGCAGGGACCGGUGUUUAUAUACUAGCCAAAAAGUCUUAGAUUCCGUCCAUAAGGGAAAACUAAAACUCUCCUUUCUUGGCUCUCAAGUAAAAUAUCAUAAUCAUAUUCAAUUAAGGAUUCUAUCAAUCCUAUUUCCAAUAUAAGACACCUUAUAUAGGAUUGAUAUCUUUAAGAGAUCAAAUCACAAUUAACAUUAUUCUCCAAUAUUACAUUUCUAUUACAUAUAGUAGACCACUUAAGGUUGAUUUAUAUUGGAUAAAUCCAACAUUCUCCCACUUGGUCUACAAAAUGUAAUAUUCACGUUUAUACUUGAGAUUGGAGACUAAUGUCACUUUAGUGGCCAUGUAACAGUGAUUACAUCUCGUCCUUAAUGCAGCUUCUGUCAAAUGCAUUUCUUAACAUGGAACUAACAAGGUUGUAGGAUUGACACAACCCAGAACCUUCAUAAUCACACAUGCUAAGAUCCUCAUUCACAUGAAACAUAGAUUAUGAUCAAGAGAUGAAACUUUAAAAUUAAACUUUAAAUUAACCAAAAUGUCUUACUUUAUAUCAUCUCAGGUCCACCUUAUUGUAACUCACAAGUUACACUUUAUGCUUUUUCGAAGCCUUAAAUCUGCCAAUGCAGAUAUCCUUCAUCUAAUGAAACCACCAUAACCUGCAGGUGUGAAUACAUCUCCAAAACAAUCAUGCAUCACUUUCAUUAGAUCAAUAAUAAUACAAACGAUGUUUGUAGCCAACGGACACAACUGAAAAUACCAAAUAGGCACAUGUCCAAGUAAAAUAUCCCAAAAACUUCAUAAAACAAAUUAAUUCAACACUUGUGAGCAAGAUGAAUUAAUAUGUUUUUGACACUAAUCUAUGCACCAUACCAGUUACUUUCAUAGUGAUUUCCAACACCUGCGGGCAAGAUGGAAAUCCUCACAACUGAUGUAGUGCACAAACCAUGCCAUGACAUUUAAUAUGCAAUUUGAUAACAACUUGAAAUCUGAUAUAUAUUUCAUCAGAUGAUUGACUAGCACACACAAAUGUGACUUAAUGAAUCCAACUGGAGAUUAAUAUGAAUACAUGGAUUCUAUACAUACUUUAUAGGUCAUCUGCAAAUGUAAGGCAUUACUAACACGAAACUCAAACUCCCACUGAUCUGCAAUAUCGUUACUUAAUUUGCAAAUCAAUACUUAAAUCAUACUUUUGAAAAUAUGCCUUUGGGAAUAGCCUUACUUAGUCAAUGACUGCAUAUUACCUCAAUGAAAGGUACAACUAAGCACAAAAGCAUUCAUCACUGUUACACAAAAACAUGCAUCCAAGAACCAUCUUAUAUGUAUUAAUAAGUCCACAUUUAUGCUAAGUCCUUAUGAGCCUCAAAACAAAUGAUUAACCAAGAAAUCCAAAUGAUUGCAAAUAACAGAAAAAUGUACGCAUAUACCAAGUAUCCAUUCGUGCAACUUAAACAUAUUAUAGACAUUCAAGUAACACAAAUUCAUGGAAGAUAGAAUAACGCUUUAAUAGAUUCAUGCAAGUCCACUUAACGCUCAAACUUUAGAACAACUCCCACUAAGUUUUCAGAGUUUAUACUUGCAAAUAAGUUAAUGAGUGUGAAGCCCAAUUUUCGUUCACUAAUUCUCCCACUUGGGCAAACACUCUUUCAAAGAUGUACCUAAAUAAAACUGCUUUAUAUUUUGGACAUAAUAAAAUAGACAUCACAACCAAUAUAAAGUUGUCAAACUGAAUUUCAACAAUGAGUUACACUUACUUUAGAAUUUAUCAUAAUUAAUUUACAAGCUUGAUUGCUACCAAAGUUAUACUGAUCAAAAUUGACAUACUAAUCUUCAUAAAAUAAAAAUAUAGAGCCGUUUUGGGUCAAAAUAGUAGUCUAAAAUCAUGUCUCAAAAAGACCAACACAAUCUGCCAGUAAAACUGCCUAUACGAGCAUGGGUUACUAGUAAAUUCACCAUAAUUAAAAUACAUGGCAGAAAAUUACGAAACUUUGCAGACACAUAUUAGACAUCUAUAUGUUGAACAUAUCCAAAAUUCAGGUCAUUUGGUAACCAUUAGACGUGUCAUUCACCGGAUUUAAAUCAAGACACACAAUCUGCCAGAAACAAUUAUGUGCAUCUAUCAUGAAUUUAUAUAUCCAUAACAAAUUCAAUUUCAUAUCAUUUCAAUAUCGAUGUCCAAAAGAAACUUUAGUAGUCAAAUUUCAUCCUCUAAACCGACAUCAUAAUUCAAAUUGAAAAGAUUUACAAGCAUAAGACUUAAACAAUGCGUACCUUAGCAAUCAUUGAUUAACCUUCAUGGGUCCAAUACUUUGCAUCAACAAGUCUCAUAAAGAGAUACAAAAUACAUCAUGAUGCAACCGAUUUCCAUGCCUUCAUACCACAACCUUUUAUGGGGCUCAUUGUGGAAAUAUUUGUCACUAAUGGCAUGGAACUUUAUCCCAGUAAACUUCAUGAAACUAAAUUAAUUUACACAUGUAGGCAAGAAAAUUAACUAGUUUCUAGUACUAGAUUUUAUGUCACAAAAGUUCCUUCAUGAAAAACUUCAACACCUGUAGGCAAGAUGAAGGUUUUCACAACUUCUGUGAAAUAAAACCCAUACUAUGCCAUCUUAAUUAAACUAAAAGAAGUAAUCCACACCUGUAGGCAAGAAGAUUAUCCCUUUUAUUCUAAUUAAGAUGCAAAGUUGACCGAAGUAACUCAAAAACAUAGUCCCAUUGCAAACUAAGCCGUUGCAUCUUGCUUAGUUGAAAAGGCAUUGGUCAACUCCGCCCUGAAACAAUACAAGAAGUCACAUGGAUUAAUUAACUGUAAGUGACAAAAUUAUGAUAACCUGAUUCGAGCUUUGAAUGUUUGCCAACAAAUGGCACUAAUUCCUUCAUGACUCCCUUUGACAUUAAAUUAAUCUCAAAAACCUGACAGCAUACUUGAAAGAGAUUAAUCACAUAUAGAACAAGUUUUAUUCCACCACAAGAAUGUCAAUACUUAUCAUUAUGGAGUCAAUUACUUAAUAGAAAUACUUUAUGUAAUGGGAAAGAACAAUACAUUCCUUUAAUUUAAAAGCUAAAUCACUCAAAUCAAACGGGUUCCUUUCCUUUUAUAUAUUUCUUUCCGUAGUACAAAACUACUAAACAUAGAGCAUUAAAAUCAUGCAUUAGCUUUGUAAAUACCAAAUUAAAUAAAAGGAACAACCAAAAUUAUUUUCUUCCAUAGAAAAUAUCUCCAAUAUAUGCCCUAUAUUAGCCUUGAAAAGUUUCUUUUCUUCUCCCCUUAUGGCACAUAAAAAUUUACUAAUUAAAGCACUGUUUAAAUUCUUUAGGCAUAGGAAAAACCACAAACAAUAAUACAUGUUUGAAAAUUCAUGCUUAUCAAUUUAGUCACAUACUUUGAAUGAAAUACAUACCUCAUGCCUUCAUAUGUUCACUACUUCUUUAUAAACAUAUGUAUAAUCACAUGAUUAACCAAAAAUUAUAAUGCAUCACAUUCCAAGCUCACGGCAAUGUUUAAAAUUGCAUCAUCCCAUACAUGCUUGAACCAACACGUCAUUUGCUUAAUUAUGUUGCCAAAAUUUAUAUUAAAUUACCUUCAUGUAUAAGAAAUACAUUAUAUUCAUUGACAAGCAUGUAUAAAGUUGAUAUGCGGAGAACUUAACAUAUGCAUCCCUGAAACAUAACUUUAAUAUAUGUUAUCACAAUCAUAGGCACAAUAUAUCCGAAUAGUAUUGAUAAAUUAUAGGAUAUGACUAAUUUCGUCUCCUACAAUCAGAAAGAUGUAACGACAUGGUUGGAUUUUGCAGGAACAAUAUAACACUUCAUGACUCCAACAUAACCAUUCCUUAUAUAAUUUAUCAUGAAGACCAAAAGGAAAGAUCAUACUAGAAUUUCAUAACCGAUGUAAUACGAACCUCUUCAUUGGGCUUGUUCGACUGAGGGAUCUUAAGAAAUUCUCCAAUGCAAGGUUAGAACAAAUGUAAAUAUAUAUACAUGCUAUGCGAACUGUAGAUACAUAAUUGGCUUUAGAAAAUUAUGUAUACUUGCUUGAUCAAACAAUUGCUGGCACUUAUGCAAUUGUUUCUUGUCACAUUAGCGUAUCACCCAUAGCAAUUCAUAUAGAAUAUAAUUCAUGGAAAAUAAUAUUAGUUCUUAUUCAAUAAACAUAUGCCCAUUUAGAUACGUAUUGCCAAAAUAUAUAAAAUUGGAUCCAUAUUCAUGACAUACUUAACCGAUACAUGGUAAUCAAUGUAUUUACAUGCUCUACAAUAAUUAGCACAUCACUCAUGCAAUUAUAUCUUUAUCUGAUUACCAAUUUAAGCUUUCAGGGAUCAACCCGAAUAUAUAUCAACCAAAAUACCAUAAACCAUCAUGGAAAUUAAAAGUCAAUGAAACAAACCAUUUUGCUUUGGUAGAUGACUUUGUUCUGCUUGCUAAUCGGAGGGACCUCUUCAGUAAGGUCAGAACAAAUAUAGCAUGCUCACAAAAAUUGAGAUCAUCAGUGGCACAUGGUAAAUCAAUUCAACCAAAACACUAGCAUGAAGAUUGAAAUAGAACAAAAACUGUUAUUCUUCUUAGCGCCAUGAUUUCCACUGUAAAAUACAUAAUAUAAUACCAAGCCUUACAUAUAUGCUUCUUUACGUUCCUAUAUGAUUAUAGGAUUAACGUCUUCAUAAUUCAUGAUCCAGCUUAGGAACUUUUAUGUCCUUUUUAGGGUCAAAACUCAAUGUUCCACGGUGUAAUGUUUCAUGACCAAUUAAACAUACACCAUGACGCAGGGAAUAAAUCGAGAUUUAAGCACAAGUCGACCUUAUCAUAACCCCUAGUACCCCAACAACCCUGAUCGAUGCUAUACACUCCAAAAACACUCAAAAUUCCAAUAGGUUGAAUACCUUUGUCUUUGGGAAAGACUCGGGCCCAAUCGUCCUACAACAAGUUGAGAGAGCGGAUGUAACAUCCGAGUUUUAUUGUUGCCCCAUUUCCUUCUUUGACAUGAAUCAACCAACCCCUUUCAUUUGUAGUUUGUGCGAGCUGAUAGACUACGCUCUCGUUGAGGUCACGAAUAAAUUUCAUGCUUCAAUACUAUAAGAAUAUUAUAUAAAUUCUAUGCUUCAAUUCCAUAAUUUAAUUCAUGCUUUAUCAAAAGCACCUAUAAGCGUAGUUCAAGAUAAUAUUAUAUAAUCCAACAUUAGACCUAAUAGGUUUUAAUUAUAUAACCAGUGGCUCUGAUACCAAUUGUUAGCCUUAUAAGGUUAUACAAUUAAAACACAAACGAAGAGUGACUGACCUGAUUCCAAUGGUAGUUACCGAAGAUGCAGUAACCAUGCAAGCAAGACGUCAUCGAUAAAACUCCAAUCUUUAUGUUUGCCGUGACAAACAGAAACACCAACUCUUCUGUAAACUCCUAGCUUUAUGACAAUGCUCUAUGGGAAGCCUUAGUUGUCGUGUCUAGGGUUAGCAGGGACCGGUGUUUAUAUACUAGCCAAAAAGUCUUAGAUUCUGUCCAUAAGGGAAAACUAAAACUCUCCUUUCUUGGCUCUCAAGUAAAAUAUCAUAAUCAUAUUCAAUUAAGGAUUCUAUCAAUCCUAUUUCCAAUAUAAGACACCUUAUAUAGGAUUGAUAUCUUUAAGAGAUCAAAUCACAAUUAACAUUAUUCUCCAAUAUUACAUUUCUAUUACAUAUAGUAGACCACUUAAGGUUGAUUUAUAUUGGAUAAAUCCAACA